Molecule: ribosomal RNA, 497 nt
Filed under: uncultured bacterium
Lineage: Bacteria
Description: partial 16S ribosomal RNA
Rfam family: Bacterial small subunit ribosomal RNA
Source: RNAcentral
GAUGAACGCUGGCGGCGUGCCUAAUACACGCAAGUCGAGCGAACAGAUGAGGAGCUUGCUCCUCUGACGUUAGCGGCGGACGGGUGAGUAACACGUGGAUAACCUACCUAUAAGACUGGGAUAACUUCGGGAAACCGGAGCUAAUACCGGAUAAUAUAUUGAACCGCAUGGUUCAAUAGUGAAAGACGGUUUUGCUGUCACUUAUAGAUGGAUCCGCGCCGCAUUAGCUAGUUGGUAAGGUAACGGCUUACCAAGGCAACGAUUCGUAGCCGACCUGAGAGGGUGAUCGGCCACACUGGAACUGAGACACGGUCCAGACUCCUACGGGAGGCAGCAGUAGGGAUUCUUCCGCAAUGGGCGAAAGCCUGACGGAGCAACGCCGCGUGAGUGAUGAAGGUUUUCGGAUCGUAAAACUCUGUUAUUAGGGAAGAACAAAUGUGUAAGUAACUAUGCACGUCUUGACGGUACCUAAUCAGAAAGCCACGGCUAACUACGUG